Molecule: ribosomal RNA, 669 nt
Filed under: uncultured bacterium
Lineage: Bacteria
Description: bacterial SSU rRNA
Rfam family: Bacterial small subunit ribosomal RNA
Source: RNAcentral
UGGGGGAUAACACUUAGAAAUAGGUGCUAAUACCGCAUAAGCGCACAGCUUCGCAUGAAGCAGUGUGGAAAACUCCGGUGGUAUACGAUGGAUCUGCGUCUGAUUAGCUUGUUGGCGGGGUAAAGGCCCACCAAGGCGACGAUCAGUAGCCGGCCUGAGAGGGUGGACGGCCACAUUGGGACUGAGACACGGCCCAAACUCCUACGGGAGGCAGCAGUGGGGGAUAUUGCACAAUGGGGGAAACCCUGAUGCAGCGACGCCGCGUGAGUGAAGAAGUAUUUCGGUAUGUAAAGCUCUAUCAGCAGGGAAGAAAGAAGACGGUACCUGAGUAAGAAGCCCCGGCUAACUACGUGCCAGCAGCCGCGGUAAUACGUAGGGGGCAAGCGUUAUCCGGAUUUACUGGGUGUAAAGGGAGCGUAGACGGCAAGGCAAGCCUGGAGUGAAAGGCGGGGGCCCAACCCCCGGACUGCUCUGGGAACUGUCUAGCUAGAGUGCAGGAGGGGUAAGUGGAAUUCCUAGUGUAGCGGUGAAAUGCGUAGAUAUUAGGAGGAACACCAGUGGCGAAGGCGGCUUACUGGACUGUAACUGACGUUGAGGCUCGAAAGCGUGGGGAGCAAACAGGAUUAGAUACCCUGGUAGUCCACGCCGUAAACGAUGAUCACUAGGUGU